This 726-nucleotide unclassified non-coding RNA is filed under the name Hevea brasiliensis (rubber tree). Lineage: Eukaryota; Viridiplantae; Streptophyta; Magnoliopsida; Malpighiales; Euphorbiaceae. The record is from RNAcentral.
UUACUUGGAGCCUCUCGCUAUGGAGUUGCUAUAGACUUAUGGAGCACUGGUUGCAUACUUGGGGAACUGUACACUGGCAAACCUAUUUUGCCUGCAAGAACUGAGGUUGAGCAAUUGCAUAAGAUUUUCAAGCUCUGUGGUUCACCCCCUGAGGAUUAUUGGAGAAAAUUGAAGCUACCUCAUUCAUCUGCAAUCAAGCCUCAACGACCAUAUAGACGAUGUGUUGCAGAAACAUUUAAAGACAUACCCGCUCCUGCAGUUGGACUUAUGGAGUCCUUGCUUUCCAUGGAUCCAGCUAAUCGUGGAACUGCAGCUUUUGCUCUGAGGGACAAGUUCUUCAGAUCAAAACCAUUGGCUUGUGAUCCUUCAAGUUUGCCCAAAUAUCCACCCAGCAAAGAGAUUGAUGCUAAAAUGCGGCAUGAAGAAUCUAGAAGGCUGGGAGUGCUUGGAGCUGGGGGGAAUGGACCACAAGAAUACGGGGCUACCCUAGCAUCUAAUGCCAAUUCCAAGUUGGCAAUGUUGAUACAGGAAAGGCAACCUUCCAAUGCAAAUGGUGGAGGUGAAAUGUUCAACUCUCACAAGGGGCAAACUGUUUCUGGUUUUCUGGUUGAUCCUUCUAAACAAAAUCAAGUUGCUAAGGAAGGGAGAAGAGAUUUCAUGGAGAAUCAACUUAAGAAAGUUUCACAUUCUGGGCCAUUGGUCCAGGGGACAGGCUGGACAAAGGCU